Molecule: long non-coding RNA, 291 nt
Organism: Pieris brassicae (large cabbage white)
Lineage: Eukaryota; Metazoa; Arthropoda; Insecta; Lepidoptera; Pieridae
Exons: 3
Source: RefSeq, a predicted model, not a curated record
AUAUAAUGUGAAUUAUAAAAAAUAUUUAAUUAUAUAAAGUUAAAUACACCACUGUUUUUGUAUGAUAAGAUGUGCUAUUGUUUUUUAAACUUAAGCAAACUGCUUUGCUUUAUGAUACCACUGGUAGCGGCAGUUAUUUUUGGGACUUUUAUAUAUAAUUACUUUAAAACGGAACAUGUUCCACAGCUUCCUUGAGGUUCUUAAGGUUCUAAGGCAUCUUCAACAAAUUUGAUGAAUGGAUUAUCUUCAGUUAUGAUCUUUGCAGAUACGUGUUUUGAACAAUAAAGAUGG